CGGAAGAAGAAGAGAUGGCAGUUAAAAAAUAACGAGACAAUGAAAAGUGAAACGGGCGGUGGAUUCACCUGAUAUUGAGUCUCAGAUUAAAGAUGCUAUGCGCUCCCGCGUUAAUUACUUUAAUGAACAAUCCAAUUCUUUGAUCUCGUAAAGAAUUAUUAGAGAAGGAUUUGGAUAGAAGUUCAUAAAAGAUUUGUUAAGCAAUGUCUGCUUCAGAUGGCGACAAUGCUUCCAAGGAUUCAGGGGAAACUGAUGAAAAAAGGUUCCCGUUCAAUUAAAGGAGAAGCAACUGAAUCGCCUGAAGGACAUGAAUCAAAAAAUCAUAUAAAAGAACUUUGUUCUGAGGAUAAGGCGAAAAUGGAAGAAUCUCCUGUCAUGGGACUCUUGACAGCGAAAAGACACCUAAGUCAAGUUUGCUAAUGAGUCUGCACCCUAUAUACUCUUUUUUAAAUUAAAUGUGAAUUUAAAACCGUGCGAACUGUGUUCUAAGGAAGCAUGUCUUUAAUGCUUUCCCCUAAAACGCUUUUAUCCGAAGCAAACACAAAUCAUUACAAUCCCAAACAGACUUGAACCCAAUGAAUAUCAGCAGAAGAUGGGGAACCUUUGUCUAAAGUGGCUAUCAGAAUUCAAUCUGUUAUGAUAUUCUCUCCUGUAUGCAGAAAAUGGAGAGGACAGCGACUGAAUCCUGGAUAAGCUGACAUGCUAGUUGAUUGAUAAGAGACACCUUAACAAUCACAGGAUAAUGAUGUAUCAUUAGUUCUAACUAAUGAUCAUUCCUUCUGUUUUUGUUUUCCUGUGUUGUCUUGCUGAGUAGAAGACCAUAUGGCUAGAAUUCGUUGGCAGCUUCUAUUACAAUAUCUUCUGGAGCUGAUUUGGUGAGUUGUAGCAGGGUAAGUACCCCAAAAAACUCAAGCGCUCUUGCAAGUUGAGAAGAUCGUGUCUCAUUUUGCAUUUACUCGACCAAACACUUCAAAAGGUCUUUUUAUUAGAUUCCAGAGCCACAGUUGUGAAUGUUUCUGCAGAUGGGUGUUUAUAUAAAUGCGAAUUACAUUUCAAAGAUACAAAAAACAUUAAGCCCCAUAGCAGUAAUUAAGUGGCAUCUUCUGAUGCAAAUCCUAGCGUACUAAAAAGCUAUCUAAUGUCAGCCUGGGUGACUCUUGAUCUUUGUUUCAAAUCAAGAUAAAAUGGAUUUUAGAUGACUGCUGUUCCAGCAAUGUAUCUUGAACUGCAAACAAUUUCCAUGAUUGCGC
Molecule: long non-coding RNA, 1250 nt
Organism: Ricinus communis (castor bean)
Lineage: Eukaryota; Viridiplantae; Streptophyta; Magnoliopsida; Malpighiales; Euphorbiaceae
Exons: 3
Source: RefSeq, a predicted model, not a curated record